GUGCUCACUUCAGCAGCACAUAUGCUAGAAUUGGAAUGAUGCUGAGAUUAGCAUGGCCCCUGAGCAAAGGUGAUACGUGAAUUCAUGAAGUGUUCCAUAUAUCU
Small nuclear RNA from Gorilla gorilla gorilla (western lowland gorilla), 104 nucleotides. Lineage: Eukaryota; Metazoa; Chordata; Mammalia; Primates; Hominidae. The record is from Rfam.